Meriones unguiculatus (Mongolian gerbil) is the source of this 103-nucleotide small nuclear RNA. The record is from Ensembl. NCBI's taxonomy places the organism in Eukaryota, Metazoa, Chordata, Mammalia, Rodentia, Muridae.
GUCCCUUUCCUAGAACAUAUAUUAAAUUGGAACAAUACAGAGAAUGUUGGCAUGACUACUGUAAAAAGACGAGAGGCAAAUUUAUGAAACAUUUCUUACCUAA